Molecule: small nucleolar RNA, 104 nt
Filed under: Callithrix jacchus (white-tufted-ear marmoset)
Lineage: Eukaryota; Metazoa; Chordata; Mammalia; Primates; Cebidae
Description: Small nucleolar RNA U13 (ENSCJAG00000071521.1)
Rfam family: Small nucleolar RNA U13
Source: Rfam by way of RNAcentral
AUUCUUUUGUGGUUCAUAAGCUGGAUUAUUGGGUAUUCACAUGCAAGUGUGAGAUGUGCCACCCUAGAACCUUGUUAGAAAGUGUACACAUUACCCACCUGACG